GAUGAACGCUAGCGGCAGGCCUAAUACAUGCAAGCUGAACGGCAAGAUUUGUAGCAAUACGAGUCCUAGAGUAGCGUAAGGGUGCGUAACACGUAUGCAAUCUGCCCGCAACAGGAGGAUAGCUUAGCGAAAGUUGAGAUAAGACUCCAUAAGAUCACGAGAGGGCAUCUGAUUGUGAUUAAACUACAAGGGGUUGCGGAUGAGCANGCGUCUGAUUAGUUAGUUGGCGGGGUAACGGCCCACCAAGACGAUGAUCAGUAGGGGAACUGAGA
RNAcentral lists this ribosomal RNA (272 nucleotides) under uncultured bacterium. RNAcentral describes it as "partial 16S ribosomal RNA". It matches the Rfam family "Bacterial small subunit ribosomal RNA", at positions 28 to 297 of the family's 1533-position model. The record is from RNAcentral.